GACGAACGCUGGCGGCGUGCUUAACACAUGCCAGUCGAACGAAGAGCGAUGGAAGCUUGCUUCUAUCAAUCUUAGUGGCGAACGGGUGAGUAACGCGUAAUCAACCUGCCCUUCAGAGGGGGACAACAGUUGGAAACGACUGCUAAUACCGCAUACGAUCUAAUCUCGGCAUCGAGGAUAGAUGAAAGGUGGCCUCUACAUGUAAGCUAUCACUGAAGGAGGGGAUUGCGUCUGAUUAGCUAGUUGGAGGGGUAACGGCCCACCAAGGCGAUGAUCAGUAGCCGGUCUGAGAGGAUGAACGGCCACAUUGGGACUGAGACACGGCCCAGACGCCUACGGGAGGCAGCAGUGGGGAAUCUUCCGCAAUGGACGAAAGUCUGACGGAGCAACGCCGCGUGAGUGAUGACGGCCUUCGGGUUGUAAAGCUCUGUUAAUCGGGACGAAAGGCCUUCUUGCGAAUAGUGAGAAGGAUUGACGGUACCGGAAUAGAAAGCCACGGCUAACUACGUG
This 510-nucleotide ribosomal RNA is filed under the name uncultured bacterium. RNAcentral describes it as "partial 16S ribosomal RNA". It matches the Rfam family "Bacterial small subunit ribosomal RNA", at positions 28 to 507 of the family's 1533-position model. The record is from RNAcentral.